GUGUCUGUAGCUCAGUGGAUAGUGUGUGCUUUCUAAGCAGGAGAUCGUGGGUUCAAACUCUACUUGACGCG
RNAcentral lists this transfer RNA (71 nucleotides) under Spinacia oleracea (spinach). It matches the Rfam family "tRNA". From Rfam's summary of the family: Transfer RNA (tRNA) molecules are approximately 80 nucleotides in length. Their secondary structure includes four short double-helical elements and three loops (D, anti-codon, and T loops). Lineage: Eukaryota; Viridiplantae; Streptophyta; Magnoliopsida; Caryophyllales; Amaranthaceae. The record is from Rfam by way of RNAcentral.